RNAcentral lists this ribosomal RNA (1472 nucleotides) under uncultured Bordetella sp. RNAcentral's name for it is "partial 16S-23S ribosomal RNA intergenic spacer". It matches the Rfam family "Bacterial small subunit ribosomal RNA". The record is from RNAcentral. Lineage: Bacteria; Pseudomonadati; Pseudomonadota; Betaproteobacteria; Burkholderiales; Alcaligenaceae.
GGUUCGAUUCUGGCUCAGAUUGACGCUGGCAGGAUGCUACACAUGCAAGUCGAACGGCAGCACGGACUUCGGUCUGGUGGCGAGUGGCGAACGGGUGAGUAAUGCGCCGGAACGUGCCUAGCGUGGCGGGGAUCGCUACGCGAAAGCGUAGCUAAUGCCGCAUACGCCCUUCGGGGAAAAGCGGGGACCGGGCUCGCACUAUUAAACGGCCGAUAUCGGAUUGAGCUAGUUGGUGGGAGUAACGGCUCACCAAGGCGACGAUCGCAUGACUGGUUUGAGAGGACGACCAGCCACACUGGGACUGGAGACGGCCCAGACUCCUACGGGGAGGCAGCAGUGGGGAAUUUUGGACAAUGGGGAAACCCUGAUCCAGCCAUCCCGCGUGUGCGAUGAAGGCCUUCAGGUUGUAAGCCCUUUAGCCCAGGAAAGAAACGGCUGCGGAUAUGCCCGUGCAACUGACGAAUACCUGCAGAAGUCAAGCACCGGCCUUCGUGCCAGCAGCCGCGGUAAUACGUAGGGUGCCAGCGUUAAUCGGAACUGCCAGGCGUAAAGCGUGCGCAGGCGGUUCGGAAAGAAAGAUGUGAAAUCCCAGAGCUUAACUUUGGAACUGCAUUUUUAACUGCCGAGGAAAGCUAGAGUGUCGGGGGAGUGGAAUUCCGCGUGUAGCAGUGAAAUGCGUAGAUAUGCGGAGGAACACCGAUGGCGAAAAACAGCCUCGCGGGAUAACACUGACGCUCAUGCACGAAAAGCGUGGGAGCAAACAGGAUUAGAUGCCCUGGUAGUCCACUAAGCGAUGUCAACUGGCUAUUGGGGCCUUCGGGCCUUGGUAGCGCAGCUAACGCGUGAGGCUGACCGCCUGAAGUACGGUCGCAAGAUUAAAACUCAAAGGAAUUGACGGGGACCCGCACAAGCGGUGGAUGAGUGUGGAUUAAUUCGAUGCAACGCGGAAAAACCUUACCUACGCUUGACACAUAUGGAAUCCCGAAGAGAUUUGGGAGUGCUCGCAAAGAGAACCCGGAACACAGGUGCUGCAUGGCUGUCGUCAGCUCGUGUCGUGAGAUGUUGGGCUAAGUCCGCAACGAGCGCAACCCUUGUCAUUAGUUGCUGAAAGGGCACUCUAAUGGGACUGCCGGUGACAAACCGGAGGAAGGUGGGGAUGACGUCAGUCCUCAUGGCCCGCUAUGGGUAGGGCUUCCACGUCACUAAAUGGUCGGAAGUUGAAGGGUCGCCGACCCGCGAGGGUAAUCCCGAAACCCGAUCGUAGUCCGGAUCGCAGUCUGCAACUCGACUGCGUGAAGUCGGAAUCGCUGACAUCGCGGAUCCGGCAUGUCGCGAUGAAUGCGUUCACAGGUCUUAUACACACCGCCCGUCACACCAUCAGAAUUAGGUUUAGAAGUAGUUAGCCUAACCGUAAGGAGGGCGAUUACCACAGUAGGAUUCAUGACUGGGGUGUUGAAGUCGUAACAAGGUAG